This 710-nucleotide ribosomal RNA is filed under the name uncultured bacterium. Its description in RNAcentral is "bacterial SSU rRNA". It matches the Rfam family "Bacterial small subunit ribosomal RNA", at positions 223 to 943 of the family's 1533-position model. The record is from RNAcentral.
GGAUGAGCCCGCGGCCUAUCAGCUCGUUGGUGGGGUAACGGCCUACCAAGGCGACGACGGGUAGCUGGUCUGAGAGGACGACCAGCCACACUGGGACUGAGAUACGGCCCAGACUCCUACGGGAGGCAGCAGUGGGGGAUCUUGCGCAAUGGGCGAAAGCCUGACGCAGCGACACCGCGUGAGGGACGAAGGCCCUCGGGUUGUAAACCUCUUUCGGCAGGGACGAAGCGAUCGUGACGGUACCUGCAAAAGAAGCUCCGGCUAACUACGUGCCAGCAGCCGCGGUAAGACGUAGGGAGCGAGCGUUGUCCGGAUUCAUUGGGCGUAAAGAGCGCGCAGGCGGUUCGGUAAGUCGGUUGUGAAAUUCCGGGGCUCAACCCCGGGACUGCGUCCGAUACUGCCGGACUAGAGGUAGGUAGGGGAGAUCGGAAUUCCUGGUGUAGCGGUGGAAUGCGCAGAUAUCAGGAGGAACACCGGUGGCGAAGGCGGAUCUCUGGGCCUUACCUGACGCUCAGGCGCGAAAGCUAGGGGAGCGAACAGGAUUAGAUACCCUGGUAGUCCUAGCUGUAAACGUCGGGUGCUAGGUGUGGGCGGAUAUCGACCCCGUCCGUGCCGAAGCUAACGCAUUAAGCACCCCGCCUGGGGAGUACGGCCGCAAGGCUAAAACUCAAAGGAAUUGACGGGGCCCCGCGCAAGCGGCGGAGCAUGUU